This 65-nucleotide transfer RNA is filed under the name Cyclommatus strigiceps vitalisi. Its description in RNAcentral is "tRNA-Val". The record is from RNAcentral. Lineage: Eukaryota; Metazoa; Arthropoda; Insecta; Coleoptera; Lucanidae.
AGUUUAGAGCUUGGUAAGCAUUUUAUUUACAUUAAAAAGAGACCGUGUUAAUCGGAGUAUUCUGA